GGUUGCUGUUACGGCGGUGGCGAUUGCAUCCGGAGCUUGCCUUUCUACUAAGGUCGAUUUUUUGUGGCCCAAAGUGGAUGAACAACCUGGAUCACUCUUAUUGGAUGGAGUAGAUGUCACUGGAUACCCCAUCUUCAAUGAUGAUAAGGUGCAGAAGGCUAUUGCAUUUGCACGAAAAGCUCACAAUGGACAGCUUCGCAGAACUGGAGAGCCGUAUUUAACACAUUGUAUUCACACAGGAAAAAUUGUAGCUGUCUUGGUUCCAUCAACUGGGAAAAGGGCCAUUGAUACGGUUGUUGCG
RNAcentral lists this unclassified non-coding RNA (301 nucleotides) under Hevea brasiliensis (rubber tree). The record is from RNAcentral. Lineage: Eukaryota; Viridiplantae; Streptophyta; Magnoliopsida; Malpighiales; Euphorbiaceae.